RNAcentral lists this ribosomal RNA (352 nucleotides) under Saccharomyces cerevisiae (brewer's yeast). Its description in RNAcentral is "eukaryotic LSU rRNA". It matches the Rfam family "Eukaryotic large subunit ribosomal RNA", at positions 73 to 428 of the family's 3401-position model. The record is from RNAcentral. Lineage: Eukaryota; Fungi; Ascomycota; Saccharomycetes; Saccharomycetales; Saccharomycetaceae.
AUGCCUUAGUACGGCGAGUGAGCGGCAAAGCUCAAUUUGAAAUCUGGUACCUUCGGUGCCCGAGUUGUAAUUUGGAGAGGGCAACUUUGGGGCCGUUCCUUGUCUAUGUUCCUUGGAACAGGACGUCAUAGAGGGUGAGAAUCCCGUGUGGCGAGGAGUGCGGUUCUUUGUAAAGUGCCUUCGAAGAGUCGAGUUGUUUGGGAAUGCAGCUCUAAGUGGGUGGUAAAUUCCAUCUAAAGCUAAAUAUUGGCGAGAGACCGAUAGCGAACAAGUACAGUGAUGGAAAGAUGAAAAGAACUUUGAAAAGAGAGUGAAAAAGUACGUGAAAUUGUUGAAAGGGAAGGGCAUUUGA